GCACAGGCUCCCUUAGGAGCCACUGUACAUCUUGGAGACAGCUAAA
Non-coding RNA from Cariama cristata (Red-legged seriema), 46 nucleotides. Lineage: Eukaryota; Metazoa; Chordata; Aves; Cariamiformes; Cariamidae. The record is from Rfam.